UCUGGUGCCAGCGGCCGCGGUAAUUCCAGCUCCAAUAGCGUAUAUUAAAGUUGUUGUGGUUAAAAAGCUCGUAGUUGGAUCUCAGUUCGAGUCAGGCGGUCCACUUGCCAGUGGCUACUGCCUGACUGAACACUUUACCGAGUUGUCCUAUGGUGUUCUUCACCGAGCGUCAUAGGCGAUCGGUACGUUUACUUUGAAAAAAAUUAGAGUGCUCAAAGCAGGCGUAACGCCCGAAUAAUGUUGCAUGGAAUAAUGGAAUAGGACCUCGGUUCUAUUUUGUUGGUCUUCGGAAUUAGAGGUAAUGAUCAAUAGGGACAGACGGGGACAUUCGUAUUGCGGCGCUAGAGGUGAAAUUCUUGGACCGUCGCAAGACGAACUAAAGCGAAAGCAUUUGUCAAGAAUGUUUUCAUUAAUCAAGAACGAAAGUUAGAGGUUCGAAGGCGAUCAGAUACCGCCCUAGUUCUAACCAUAAACGAUGCCAACCAGUAAUUCGUCUGAGUUCCUUAAAUGACUCGACGAGGGACUUCCGGGAAACCAAAGUCUUUCGGUUCCAGGGGAAGUAUGGUUGCAAAGCUGAAACUUAAAGAAAUUGACGGAAGGGCACCACCAGGAGUGGAGCCUGCGGCUUAAUUUGACCCAACACGGGAAAACUCACCCGGCCCGGACCCUGGAAGGAUUGACAGAUUGAGAGCUCUUUCUUGAUUCAGUGGGUGGUGGUGCAUGGCCGUUCUUAGUUGGUGGAGUGAUUUGUCUGGUUAAUUCCGAUAACGAACGAGACUCUAGCCUACUAAAUAGAUCGUCGGCUUACAAACGCCGGCGAGACUUCUUAGAGGGACAGGCGGUGAUUCAACCGCACGAAACAGAGCAAUAACAGGUCCGUGAUGCCCUUAGAUGUCCGGGGCCGCACGCGCGCUACACUGAAGUGAUCAGCGUGCUUUUUCAACCUACUCUGUCAAGAGUGGGGAACCCAAUGAACCUUCUUCGUGAUUGGGAUAGGGGAUUGUAAUUAUUCCCCUUGAACGAGGAAUUCCCAGUAAGCGCGAGUCAUAAGCUCGCGUUGAUUACGUCCCCGCCCUUUGUACACACCGCCCGUCGCUACUACCGAUUGAAUGUUUUAGUGAGGUCUUCGGACUGGCCGGCGCAGCACUCUCGUAGUGCAGCGCUGUGUUUGGAAAGAUGCCCAAACUUGAACAUUUAGAGGAAGUAAAAGU
Molecule: ribosomal RNA, 1211 nt
Filed under: metagenome
Description: SSU rRNA
Rfam family: Eukaryotic small subunit ribosomal RNA
Source: RNAcentral